This 456-nucleotide unclassified non-coding RNA is filed under the name Hevea brasiliensis (rubber tree). Lineage: Eukaryota; Viridiplantae; Streptophyta; Magnoliopsida; Malpighiales; Euphorbiaceae. The record is from RNAcentral.
AGAAAAUAGAGCCUGAUGCAGAACUUCAGGUGUUAGUUGAUCGAUUCAUUGAUGGUCAUGCUAGAAUCCAGAGGUCUCCAGUUAAUGCAGAUGCGGGCGGAGUAAUGGUGGAACAGAAAAAUGUUAUAUAUGGGGACGUUUCCAUGGAGAGGGGUGCUUUUUUAGUCCAACAAGCUAUGAGAGCAUUUCAUGCAAAGAAUAUAGAAAGUGCGAAAUCACGUCUCAGUCUUUGUGCAGAGGAUAUCCGUGAUCAAUUACAGACUUUGGGUAACACGUCAGAGUUAUGCUCACAACUUGGCGCUGUCCUCGGAAUGCUAGGAGAUUGCUGUCGUGCAACAGGAGAUUCUGGUUCGGCAGUUGCUUAUUACGAAGAAAGUGUUGAGUUUCUCUCUAAGCUUACUGCAAAAGAUUUGGAGUUGGUGCACACACUGUCUGUGUCACUAAAUAAAAUUGGAG